This 372-nucleotide ribosomal RNA is filed under the name uncultured organism. RNAcentral describes it as "partial 16S ribosomal RNA". It matches the Rfam family "Bacterial small subunit ribosomal RNA", at positions 527 to 896 of the family's 1533-position model. The record is from RNAcentral.
GUAGGUGGCAAGCGUUGUCCGGAAUUAUUGGGCGUAAAGCGCGCGCAGGCGGUCCUUUAAGUCUGAUGUGAAAGCCCACGGCUCAACCGUGGAGGGUCAUUGGAAACUGGGGGACUUGAGUACAGAAGAGGAAAGCGGAAUUCCAAGUGUAGCGGUGAAAUGCGUAGAGAUUUGGAGGAACACCAGUGGCGAGGGCGGCUUUCUGGUCUGUAACUGACGCUGAGGCGCGAAAGCGUGGGGAGCAAACAGGGAUUAGAUACCCUGGUAGUCCACGCCGUAAACGAUGAGUGCUAAGUGUUAGGGGGUUUCCCGCCCCUUAGUGCUGCAGCUAACGCAUUAAGCACUCCGCCUGGGGAUACGGCCGCAAGGCUG